Molecule: long non-coding RNA, 1682 nt
Organism: Clupea harengus (Atlantic herring)
Lineage: Eukaryota; Metazoa; Chordata; Actinopteri; Clupeiformes; Clupeidae
Source: Ensembl
CUCUCUCUUCCUCUGUGGCAUUUAAUUGUUCAUGACAUGAUGACGUGACAUUGAAUAAUCCACGGUUAACAGGCCUAGAGGGUGUGGUCAAGAUACAGUUUUGUUUUAUUAAAUUACAUAAAAUACUGAUGUACAGAUCAUAUACAGUGUGGAUAUUAGUCGGGGAAAUUACAGUACACAUAGCAUCUUACAAGUAGGCUACAACAGAUAGCUUCUGAUUUGAACAAUACAAGUCCAUUGAGCUACCCAGCACAAAGGUUCAUACUGAUGCUUUUCAUGAGUCCAUUGAGCAACCCAGCGCACAUAUUCAUACUGAUGCUUUUCAUGAGUCCAUUGAGCUAACCAGCACACAUGUUCGCACUGAUGCUUUUCAUGAAGUUUGUCGUCCAAAAUAAGUCUGGCUUUGGUGAUGAUGUAGGCUAAAGAACAGAACACUCCUGUCCGUCCCUGACCGAGACGGACGGUUCACUUGGUCCCCGGGCGCUGAGAAGCUGCCCACUGCUCCUGCGGGGUCCUGGAGGAAGGACGUCCCGGGAUGGGAAAAAAGCAGAGGGAAAAUUCACACCGACCUCAGGCCUGCGUCGCCUGUGUGUGUGUGUCCUGUGUCACCUCCAUAUAUAACACGUGUGUGUUGCAGUGAGUCGUUUGUGCAAUAAAAAACUGACUGCAGUCAGCCUUGUUUGUUUGAAAGGUUCCAUUUCCUGUCUGUACAGUGACAACUCUUGUCCAUCACAGAGUUUUUCAAAUUUUUUUUUUUUUUCAACAAGCCGCCUCACACCUAUAUGACUUCAGGACUGACCAUACACAGAGUUGUAUCUCUCAAAAUACUGGCUGCUCUGUCUGUUACCCCUCCGGUCCGGUCUCUGUGACAUUUCAAACUCCUGUCCCUGUGAAGGAAACAAUGGAAGACUAAUGUAUACAAUGUUUUUUCAGGUUACAUCAACCUUGUCUUCAGCAAAUAACUACUGGCACAAGGUCAGUAAAUGCAAGCAGGGAUAUUCCAGCUAACCAGUGUAGUAUAACACAAAUACUGCAACACGUUUGUGGGGACUCAUUCUGCAUCAGAAUAUUAAAUAUACAAUAUUUAAAGUUUAAAGUCCAGUUUUCAAUAUAUAAUUUAAGAGGGAACCAUGAGGGUUGAAAAGAUAAGGAACACAUGAGAGGUAGAAAUGAGCAAAUAUGAUUCAGGAGUUUAAUCAAAAAGAGGCACGCUAACUAGCUAAGAGUUAACAGAUAUUCCUUACAAACAGUAACAACAACACAGCUGGCACAGAUGAAAGCUGGCAAGCUUGCUAACAUGUAUCUGACCGUGUAUUUGGUGACUCAUGUAGUAAGCUCAUUUUACAUUUUUCAUGCCUGGACCACUAAAUGAAAACCGUGGCAACUAGUGGGAACAACAGGUAUGUUUAUCUCUCUUUCACUUGACAAUAUGUAAUCAAAAUUAAUCUGAAGAUAAAAAAACUAAAUGGCAAAAACUGACUGGUGCACUCACUUCUCUUGAUUGGUUUGAUGGCCUUGCUUCCUGGGAUUCAGAGUUUCUCUUCUUUUUCUUUAUCCUAAUGCAAAAUAUUUUCUAACAUUAUUCCACACUUAGAUCUGUCUGACGCCAGUCCCUUGUUUAAGUUUAAUACUUACAUUAAACCUAUAGAGUUGGUAUUAGCGUUCAGUAGUUGUGCAAAUAC